AUACUUACCUGGCAGGGGAGACACCAUGAUCAGGAAAGGUGGUUCACCCAGGGCGAGCUCUGCCAUUGCACUGAGGCAGUACUGACCCUUGCGAAUUCCCCAAAUGUGGGAAUCUCGACUGCAUAAUUUCUGUUAGUGGGGGACUGCGUACGCGCUCUCCCCUG
This 164-nucleotide small nuclear RNA is filed under the name Takifugu rubripes (torafugu). RNAcentral describes it as "U1 spliceosomal RNA (ENSTRUG00000030912.1)". It matches the Rfam family "U1 spliceosomal RNA". Rfam says of the family: U1 is a small nuclear RNA (snRNA) component of the spliceosome (involved in pre-mRNA splicing). Lineage: Eukaryota; Metazoa; Chordata; Actinopteri; Tetraodontiformes; Tetraodontidae. The record is from Rfam by way of RNAcentral.